GUACAAGUUAACUGGGCAGCACAUAUACUAAAAUUAGAAUGAUACAGGGAUUAGCAUGGACCCUGCACAAGGAUGACAUGCAAAUUCGUAAAGCAUUCCGUAUGCAA
Molecule: small nuclear RNA, 107 nt
Filed under: Notamacropus eugenii (tammar wallaby)
Lineage: Eukaryota; Metazoa; Chordata; Mammalia; Diprotodontia; Macropodidae
Source: RNAcentral